RNAcentral lists this ribosomal RNA (253 nucleotides) under uncultured bacterium. RNAcentral describes it as "partial 16S ribosomal RNA". It matches the Rfam family "Bacterial small subunit ribosomal RNA", at positions 524 to 776 of the family's 1533-position model. The record is from RNAcentral.
UACAGAGGGUGCAAGCGUUAAUCGGAAUUACUGGGCGUAAAGCGUGCGCAGACGGUUUCGUAAGUCGGGUGUGAAAUCCCCGGGCUCAACCUGGGAAUUGCAUUCGAAACUGCAAGGCUAGGGUACGGAAGAGGGAAGCGGAAUUUCUGGUGUAGCGGUGAAAUGCGUAGAUAUCAGAAGGAACAUCAGUGGCGAAAGCGGCUUCCUGGUCCAGUACCGACGUUCAGGCACGAAAGCGUGGGGAGCAAACAGG